This 105-nucleotide ribosomal RNA is filed under the name Chelonoidis abingdonii (Abingdon island giant tortoise). Lineage: Eukaryota; Metazoa; Chordata; Testudines; Testudinidae. The record is from RNAcentral.
UAUUGUAGUGCUGGGAUUAGAAUCCAGAGCUACAGCUAAGAAGGUUUGGCCCCAGGUCAGUAGUUGGAUGGGAAACCACUGAAGAACCCCUUGGUGCUGCAAGAA